This is a long non-coding RNA of Acinonyx jubatus (cheetah), 389 nucleotides long. RefSeq lists it as uncharacterized. NCBI's taxonomy places the organism in Eukaryota, Metazoa, Chordata, Mammalia, Carnivora, Felidae. The record is from RefSeq and is a predicted model, not a curated record. The transcript has 3 exons.
CACAUAUUUUUCAUAAGGUAGCACGUGUAGUGAAAAGGCCUGAGAGUCCUUAAGUCCUAAAUCCUGACACAAGGGAUGAAGGGGUCGCGGAGUUGCCAGAUUCUUGUAACCAAUGAACCUAUGGAACUCUGCUUUGAACUCCCGUCUACUAUUCAUUCAAGAGGCACCAACAGCCAUGAUGACAAAAGAUGACAGACUUCUACUGGGCGGCUCAGGAGACAGGAAGCACCUGCUUGUGCUGGGGAUGGGCCGGCAGAGAGGGGAAGGAGUGACAAGAGACGGGUAAUGUAUUCCAUAUUCCACAACAGUAAUUAAACAGGUCACAUUUGAAACAAAACAUCAAGAAAUAGAAAUAUGAGUAGGUUACAUAAAAAAAAAGUAAUACUAGA